UCAGUAUGAUAAAUCACCAUUUACAUUUGUUGCUUGGACGCUUAGAAAAUGCGAAAUCUUUUAAGGUAAAAAAGAUAUGUUGAGUGAGAAACUCCACUCGACUUUCGUGAACGACUGCAUUUUGCAAUUAAAAUGAAUUGGGUUGGAUAAACGAGUUGCUCGCAAGGUGUUUGAUGAAAUGCCAUGCCAGAGUUUUAUUUUAUUUUAUUAGAUAAUCCAAAAAUGACUAUUGUAGUACUCUCUCUGUUUAACAUUUUCUUAACAUGUAGUCAUGUACUCACCCAAUUGUUGUUGUUUGUCUCCUUCUCCUCCUCCUUCAGGUUUUGAGAGUUCAACUGGAACCAUGAAACCUCAACAACUUUUUCUUUCCUCAACUUUGAAACUGUUCAAACGAAGGCCAUACAAUUCUCGCCAAGGACUGCACUGGAGCACUAGUGGUUAUCAUCAACAAUCUAGAAAAGCUAUUAACUUUUCGGCGUUGUUUGCAAUCCCUCUACCUCAUUUUUCGAAAAGAAUCAACAGAAAGAUAAUAGAGAGUGAUUGUCAAGCCAAGCGUCUUCUUUCAGGUUCUCAAACGAUAACAGAAGUAUCACAUGAGUGUCCCCCUGAAAGUGAUCUUUUUUCCUUCAUUAACUUCACUUUAAAUGAGCUUGAAGGUCCCUAUCAUUGUUGGUUGAAUUUUGGUGAAAGCAAGGAUUCCUUCAAGAGAGUUGGAACCUUCUUGGUUGUUGCUGGACAGUUUCUUGACAAUUCAAUAAUUGACUCAAACUCUCUCUCUAUGCUUUUAAAAGUAAAGUCACUCCAGCAAAGGUUCCCUCAGCUUCAUAUUAUGGGUCUUCAGUGUGGCAGUUCAGUUUGCUCUCCUAUUGAUCAAAGUCACCUAGUCCAACUGAUAAUGAAGGAAUACAUCACAUUUCCAAUUUUAUUGUCUAACAAGACAUUUCCUGAGGUGGCAAAUGCUGCAUGUUAUAUUCUAUUUAAAGAUUCUAGGAGUAAAGUCAUUUACCAUGAGAAGGGCCUAGAUCUUGGAAUUCUUAACAAAGCUGUUGAGGAGUUUGGUGUGCAACCUGAUGAGUCUAGGUUUGUCCACAACUUGAAAAGCACUUGGUUUAAGAAAGCUGAGAUCACUAAGGAACCGUAUUUAUGUUCUUUGCGGAAUUUGCUUCUGUACUUCCCAGAUUGCAUCUCUGCAGAUGAAAGCAGCAAUCGUCUCUUCCUUUCAGACAGCAAUCAUCAUCGAAUAAUCAUAAUAAAUGGCAACGGAAAGAUUUUGGAUUGUAUUGGUUCUUCCCCUGGUUUUGAGGAUGGAGCAUUUGAGUCUGCGAAGUUGGUCCGUCCAGCAGCUUCAUUUUAUCAUGCUGUAGAUGAUUGCCUAUAUUUUGUGGAUUCAGAGAACCAUGCCAUCAGGAGAGCUGAUAUGGGAAAGAGAAUUUUAGAGACUCUCUAUCCAACAAGCAACAUUUAUAAAAAGAGUAAUGGUUUAUGGACCUGGAUCAUGAACAAGCUGGGACUAGGAAGAAGUGACGAUACAAAAUCUGAAGAUUUGGAUUCUGAAUCUUUGAUGUUCCCUUGGCAUCUGAUGAAAUCAAAGGAUGAUACUUUAAUAAUCAUAAACCGCAGCUUUGAAACUCUUUGGAUCAUGGAUAUGACUUCAGGAGAUAUAGAAGUUGUAAAAGGAUUUCCAAAGAUUUUGGAAACCUGUGGACAGUGGAUCAUGGAGAAAGUGUCCCUUUUGAAACGGAUUCCAUUUGAUUGGUUGCAACCACAGUUUGAAGCUUCCUGUUCACAAGAGGAGCUUUCAUAUGCUCGUCUCAUGUCUUCAUUAACAACCUUGCAGAAUCACAUAUUCAUUUGUGACACAGUUGGACAGAGGAUUCUGAAAGUUGAUGGAGAUUCUGGUGUCUUUUCAAACCUCCAAUUUUCAAAUUUUGGGAUCCUUGGUUUACCUUAUUGGUUGUCUUCCCCUUUAGAGAGAGUUUAUGCUGUUAAUUAUGGACUUUGUGGAGCACAGAUUGAUCAGCUUCAAUGUUUCAGAUUGCUGCCAGGUAGGAUUGAUAUUCAGUUAAAUGUGGAUAUCCCUGUGGAUACUGAGCUUGUAGAACCAUUACAAGACGGAUGUAUAUGGCACCAGGCAAGAGGAGCUGCUACUGAAGUCUCAGCAGUAGAGGAUGUUGCUGGAUCAUCUGAGAAGGUUGGUGUUGCCCAACAGUGGUAUGACGAGUUGGAUAGUCUUGCCUUCUCUACACCUGAAACAGAACUGACUGUUGAAGAUGAUAAUAUAACUAAGGAUAAUAAAUUUCAAGAUGAAAGGGUUCACAUUAACUGUGCUGUUAAUACAAGUCCAGGAACAAGUGAGGUUAUUAUUUGUGCAGUGUUGUAUCUAAAACUAAGAAAAAACCCAGAUUUAGAAGAGGACAAUCAGGAGAAAUACGCAGCACGGAUAGUGGAUAUAUUGAAACCAGAGAGAACUGUAAGAACAGGAGGAGAGUCGUGCAUUCACUUGUUAAAAUCAAACAAGGAUUUGAGAGACCUCAUUUUCAUGAAACCCCUGCAUGUGAGGAUAAAAUUUGAUAGUCCUGAUCACCCAAAAGCUGAUAAUUCAAAAGAUAUAAUAUUAACGGACUCCUCCGUUGAGGUCAAUGUGUCACUUUACUCAUAAUGCUUAGGUUGAUGAGUACAAAUUUUUUCAGUCAUUUAGUUCAAUUUUAUUGUAAUGUUCUGUAAUCUAUCAUUAGGAUUAAUGGUUUUGCUGUUCUUAAGGAAAAUGACUACUCUGAUACAGGGAGUGAGUAAAGUCAUGUGUUUUGGAAUUUCAAUGUGUUCGGAUGAUCGUAGACUUGGAUUAUUGAAGGGUAGAUGGCAGGGGAAGAGGAAGCGAAGUUCAAAUUACAGACAUGGGCACCACAAAUGAUGUUAUUAUCAUUAAUGGAUUAUCUUUUGAAUCCCAUUGUAAUGAUUGAGAAACGUUCAUCUAGCAAAGAAUUUUGCCAAAUUAUCAGCAUUUAGAAAGUUAGAAAAAUGGAAUAACUAAACUUGGUAGGAAGAACUAAACUUUUUGUCAAUGAUGCAACAUAGACAGUACACGGGAAAAAUUAUUGUUUAGUUUUAAUUUUUGAACUAUAUAGCCAAAUAGUCCACUUUUUAAACUA
Quercus lobata is the source of this 3149-nucleotide RNA transcript. It is a transcript of the gene named NHL domain-containing protein, with no coding region annotated. NCBI's taxonomy places the organism in Eukaryota, Viridiplantae, Streptophyta, Magnoliopsida, Fagales, Fagaceae. The record is from RefSeq and is a predicted model, not a curated record. The transcript is spliced from 18 exons.